RNAcentral lists this ribosomal RNA (352 nucleotides) under uncultured bacterium. RNAcentral's name for it is "bacterial SSU rRNA". It matches the Rfam family "Bacterial small subunit ribosomal RNA", at positions 29 to 409 of the family's 1533-position model. The record is from RNAcentral.
AACGAACGCUGGCGGCAUGCCUAACACAUGCAAGUCGAACGAAGUCUUCGGACUUAGUGGCGCACGGGUGCGUAACGCGUGGGAAUCUGCCCUUGGUGCGGAAUAACUUCUCGAAAGGGAUGCUAAUACCGCAUAAUGUCGUAAGACCAAAGAUUUAUCGCCCAAGGAUGAGCCCGCGUAAGAUUAGCUAGUUGGUGGGGUAAAAGCCUACCAAGGCGACGAUCUUUAGCUGGUCUGAGAGGAUGAUCAGCCACACUGGGACUGAGACACGGCCCAGACUCCUACGGAGGCAGCAGUCGGGGAAUAUUGCGCAAUGGCGGAAAGCCUGACGCAGCGACGCCGCGUGGGUGAU